CCUAAUUUUUCCUGGUCAUGAAACAAGAACCCAGAUUUUAGCUGAACUAAGGAGCAAGAAAUCCUGCAUUAAUAAAUUGUGGCCAGGCGCAGUGGCUCA
Long non-coding RNA from Sapajus apella (tufted capuchin), 99 nucleotides. RefSeq lists it as uncharacterized. The transcript is spliced from 3 exons. NCBI's taxonomy places the organism in Eukaryota, Metazoa, Chordata, Mammalia, Primates, Cebidae. The record is from RefSeq and is a predicted model, not a curated record.